This is a long non-coding RNA of Homo sapiens (human), 1495 nucleotides long. The record is from Ensembl. NCBI's taxonomy places the organism in Eukaryota, Metazoa, Chordata, Mammalia, Primates, Hominidae.
GAGUAGCUGGGACUCUAGAGGCGUGUGUCACCACACCCAGCUAAGUUUUGUAUUUUUAGUAGAGAUGGGGUUUCACCAUGUUUGCCAGGAUGGUCUCUAUCUCCUGACCUUGUGAUCCACCCACCUCAGCCUCCCAAAGUGCUGGGAUUGCAGGUGCGAGCCACCGGGUCCAGCCUCUCAGGCGAUUUUCAUACCUGCAUACUCUGAUCACUACGCUGUUAAACAGUCAAGGAGGGUAAGUAUUAUCUUCAGAUUUCCAGAGCUCUGUCUCUGUACAGCCCUCUCCUCCUCAAUAUUCUGCCCUAUGAAUUCUAGCCACAUUGGCCUUCCCAGACUCACAGUUCUGUCUUCUCAACUCAGGAAGAUCUCUGAGCUCCAUCUGCAUUCUUUCUUCCUGUGCUGUGGCUUGGAAAGUUUUCUAAGGUGUUUGGGAGGUCAAUUGUGGGGCUAGCCUCAUUUGUUUCUCAUCUCUUGAGGAUCACUGCCCUUUGAUGCUUGAUUCCAGUGAUUGAUUCCCUUUGUUGCUUGAGGGCCAUAGUUUCAUAUAUUUUGUCCAGUAUUUUUGUUGUUUUAGGUCAGAAAGUAAUUUUGGUCUCUGUUACUCCAUCUUGGCCAGAAGUGUAAGACCUAAGCAUUUACACAUCAAAAUACUGCACACAUAAUUUUAGUUUAAGCUACUUUUAAAAAAAUCUGCUUCAUUUUCCAUUAAGCAUUCUAUUUAGGGUAUUACAUUGUUUUUUUUGAAAUUCUGUUAUUGGCAGUUUCUAUUGCCUAUCAAUCCCAUUUAAAGAUAGUGCAUAGGGUAUUCUAAAAUAGCUGUUAAGCAAAGAGAAAAUUGGGCCUGAUAGGGUGAGAAUCACAGCUCUAAUACCUAGAGUGACCUUAUAAUGUAUUGUCCAAAGGAGAUAUUUUUGACAGUGAAAGAGGGUGUUGUUAGUAAUUAUAUCAGGACCAUGGCCUAAACCAGGACUAUCCCAGGCAGCCUGGGACAUAUUUGUACCCCAUCUCUAUUUAAUGCCUUUAUACAAUUCUUAAUUCUACCAGCCUUUAUUGAGCCUGCUUUCUUUGUCUAGCUGAGUGCCACGUGCUGACAUCACUAAGAUCAAUACAGCAAACUCUGAAAGAUGGACGGAGAGACAGGAGAUGGUCCUUUAUAAUGCAGUGUGAUCUGUGCUGCAAUAGAGUUUUGGAAGCUAGAAGUUCAAAACGAGGUGUUGGCAGCACCAUGCUCUCUCUGAAGAUGCUAGGAAGAAUCUGCUCCAUGCCUUUCCAUUCGCUUCUGGGGUUUCCUGCAAGCCCUGACAUUCCUUGGCUUGUAGAUACACCACCCCAGUUUCCGCCCCCAUCAUCACAUGGCCUCCUCUCUGUGUGUGCCUCUGCGUUCCCUCUAUUCUUCUUCUAAGGACACCGACACCAGUCAUAGUGGAUUAAGGGUCCACUCCUAACCAAUUACAUCUGCAACAACCCUAUUUCCAAAUAAAGUCACAUUCUAAGA